This 378-nucleotide long non-coding RNA is filed under the name Androctonus crassicauda. The record is from RNAcentral. Lineage: Eukaryota; Metazoa; Arthropoda; Arachnida; Scorpiones; Buthidae.
GGCAGUUUGUGAAUUAUGUAAGUGGAUCAUUCCACAAAACCCUAUGUAAGUCAAAACGUAUAUAUGUUGAAGCAUAUCUUAUAUAUAGCACUAGCGUGUCAUAAUGAUGUAACUCUAAAAAUAGUUAUAUUAAAGAAUAAGCACAUAAAUUGCCUGAUAAAGCAACCACUUAUCUUGAAAGAUCCAGACUCAAUUCCAAGUCCCACAUCUCCAGUUUUUUGGAGAAGUCUGGAUUUAUGCCUAAAAAUAAUCCUACAUAAGUAUGGAACUAUUGUAUGUCAGGGAUUGCCUGUAUUUCAUUUAUUAAUAUUUUUUUAUUUAUUUAAUAUCAAAUAUAUAAUAAUUUUAUAGAUUUCGAGAUGCAGGAGCAGAAGUGAU